RNAcentral lists this transfer RNA (126 nucleotides) under Bipolaris maydis ATCC 48331. Its description in RNAcentral is "tRNA-Asp (GTC) (tRNA-Asp-GTC-4-1)". It matches the Rfam family "tRNA". Rfam says of the family: Transfer RNA (tRNA) molecules are approximately 80 nucleotides in length. Their secondary structure includes four short double-helical elements and three loops (D, anti-codon, and T loops). Lineage: Eukaryota; Fungi; Ascomycota; Dothideomycetes; Pleosporales; Pleosporaceae. RNAcentral also lists the same sequence under 1 other name. The record is from RNAcentral.
UCUUCAGUAGUAUAGUGGUCAGUAUUUCCGCUUGUCACGCGGGAGACCGGGGUAAGUACUUCGAGAUUAUCUCAUAAGAUCUUCGCUUAUUAACACCCAUCUUAGGUUCAAUUCCCCGCUGGAGAG